RNAcentral lists this ribosomal RNA (497 nucleotides) under uncultured bacterium. RNAcentral's name for it is "partial 16S ribosomal RNA". It matches the Rfam family "Bacterial small subunit ribosomal RNA", at positions 28 to 507 of the family's 1533-position model. The record is from RNAcentral.
GACGAACGCUGGCGGCGUGCCUAAUACAUGCAAGUUGAGCGCUGAAGGUUGGUACUUGUACCAACUGGAUGAGCAGCGAACGGGUGAGUAACGCGUGGGGAAUCUGCCUUUGAGCGGGGGACAACAUUUGGAAACGAAUGCUAAUACCGCAUAAAAACUUUAAACACAAGUUUUAAGUUUGAAAGAUGCAAUUGCAUCACUCAAAGAUGAUCCCGCGUUGUAUUAGCUUGUUGGUGAGGUAAAGGCUCACCAAGGCGAUGAUACAUAGCCGACCUGAGAGGGUGAUCGGCCACAUUGGGACUGAGACACGGCCCAAACUCCUACGGGAGGCAGCAGUAGGGAAUCUUCGGCAAUGGACGAAAGUCUGACCGAGCAACGCCGCGUGAGUGAAGAAGGGCUUCGGAUCGUAAAACUCUGUUGGUAGAGAAGAACGUUGGUGAGAGUGGAAAGCUCAUCAAGUGACGGUAACUACCCAGAAAGGGACGGCUAACUACGUG